GAGUUUGAUCCUGGCUCAGGACGAACGCUGGCGGCGUGCUUAACACAUGCAAGUCGAACGGUAAGGCCCCAGCUUGCUGGGGUACACGAGUGGCGAACGGGUGAGUAACACGUGGGUGACCUGCCCCGCACUUCGGGAUAAGCCUGGGAAACUGGGUCUAAUACCGGAUAGGACCGCACCGUGAGGGUGUGGUGGAAAGUUUUUCGGUGUGGGAUGGGCCCGCGGCCUAUCAGCUUGUUGGUGGGGUAAUGGCCUACCAAGGCGGCGACGGGUAGCCGGCCUGAGAGGGUGGACGGCCACAUUGGGACUGAGACACGGCCCAGACUCCUACGGGAGGCAGCAGUGGGGAAUAUUGCACAAUGGGCGGAAGCCUGAUGCAGCGACGCCGCGUGGGGGAUGACGGCCUUCGGGUUGUAAACUCCUUUCACCAUCGACGAAGGUUUUCUGACGGUAGAUGGAGAAGAAGCACCGGCUAACUACGUGCCAGCAGCCGCGGUAAUACGUAGGGUGCGAGCGCUGUCCGGAAUUACUGGGCGUAAAGAGCUCGUAGGUGGUUUGUCGUGUCGUCUGUGAAAUUCCGGGGCUUAACUCCGGGCGUGCAGGCGAUACGGGCAUAACUUGAGUACUGUAGGGGAGACUGGAAUCCUGGUGUAGCGGUGAAAUGCGCAGAUAUCAGGAGGAACACCGGUGGCGAAGGCGGGUCUCUGGGCAGUAACUGACGCUGAGGAGCGAAAGCAUGGGUAGCGAACAGGAUUAGAUACCCUGGUAGUCCAUGCCGUAAACGGUGGGCGCUAGGUGUAGGGGUCUUCCACGACUUCUGUGCCGUAGCUAACGCAUUAAGCGCCCCGCCUGGGGAGUACGGCCGCAAGGCUAAAACUCAAAGGAAUUGACGGGGGCCCGCACAAGCGGCGGAGCAUGUGGAUUAAUUCGAUGCAACGCGAAGAACCUUACCUGGGCUUGACAUAUACGGGACCGGGCCAGAGAUGGUCCUUCCCUUGUGGCUCGUAUACAGGUGGUGCAUGGUUGUCGUCAGCUCGUGUCGUGAGAUGUUGGGUUAAGUCCCGCAACGAGCGCAACCCUUGUCUUAUGUUGCCAGCACGUAAUGGUGGGGACUCGUGAGAAACUGCCGGGGUCAACUCGGAGGAAGGUGGGGAUGACGUCAAAUCAUCAUGCCCCUUAUGUCCAGGGCUUCACACAUGCUACAAUGGUCGGUACAGUGGGUUGCGAUGCCGUGAGGUGGAGCUAAUCCCUGAAAGCCGGUCUCAGUUCGGAUCGGGGUCUGCAACUCGACCCCGUGAAGUCGGAGUCGCUAGUAAUCGCAGAUCAGCAACGCUGCGGUGAAUACGUUCCCAGGGCCCUUGUACACACCGCCCGUC
Molecule: ribosomal RNA, 1376 nt
Filed under: uncultured bacterium
Lineage: Bacteria
Description: bacterial SSU rRNA
Rfam family: Bacterial small subunit ribosomal RNA
Source: RNAcentral